AGUGAAUCCAUGGAAGACCCCCAAAAGAGGCUGCGGAUUCUUGGUGGACAGCUCUCAUAUCCCCUCCAGGGAAAAUGAUGAAAAAUGUCUUCAGAAAAAUAGCUUUAUGAAGGCAAGAGGAAUUUUUGCACCUGAAAGACAUGUCUGAAAGCUCCUCAGGUCAAAACACAAGUAGUCAAGAGAUUUGUCCAUCUAAUUCAUCAUACUACUCUGAUCCAAGUGAGACCCACACUGGGUCAGCUCCAUCAAGGAGAAGAACAUUCCACCCACGUUUGGAUUCUGGAAUAUCAUCCUUGCUUCCAUCAGAUUCUUGUAAGUACCUCACUUUGCAGAAGGUAGAACAACAUGACAUUCAAGGAAGUCAACUGUGUUGCCCAAGAGUAAGAGAAGGACCCUCUGAAGAAGAGCAACUUUUCAGACAGGUAGAGUGUGCCUUGCUCCCAAGGAAAAGAGUUCUUGACAAAAACAAAUGGGAAAUAUGGCUACAAGAAAACUGGGAAGACUGCAAGAAUUUGAACAUUUCAUUUCAGGAUUUGGGGGAUCCUUACCAAGUUGAAGAUUUUAACAGAAUUCUUAGAAGACUAAUUCGAGUUGAAACCCUCUGCUGCAGAAUUUUAAAUAUGAGCAAAAAUCAUCUCACAUCUUUCAAACAAUUACCAAAGAUACCUCAGAUACAGCAUUUAUCCUUGGCCGAAAACCACAUUGAGACUCUUACUGGAUUCUCCAGUUUAUGGUGCACUCCACUGGAAUCCCUUAUUCUCAGGAGGAACCCUUGUGAGUUCCACCAAAAUUACAGGAAGCGAUCCUCCAAUAAGAAGACAGCACAAUUUAAAAGAGAAAGGACUUAAUGAUAGAGCUAAUAGUGCCUUAUGAUUUUGAAUAAGUUACUUAAAAUGAGGGAUAAAAACCAAUCUGACAGAGUUGUGAGGAUUUAAAGAGAUGCCCAGGAAGCAAUUAAUGUUAAGAAAAUCAUGCGGCCAAUGGGGGCUUUCAAGGAGAGUAUUCUCCUGUUUGCCAAACUUAAAAAUGCUGGAUGGAAUCUUGAAGCUACCAGAAGAUUGCUCAUCACCAGAAACCAAUAUUUUUUCAAAAAUAUGCCUAGUAUCCUAAUGCAGUCUGUAUAGAAAGAAAGCAAUCAUCAUUGUUGCUAAAAGCUAAUAAACACAGGAAAUGCAUGAUUAAAUAUUACAGUUUAUUUUAUAUCUUUUUGCUUUUCUAAAUCAAGGUAGGAAAAUAUUUUCUGUAAAGGACCAGAUGGUAAAUAUUUCAGGCUUUCUGGGCCAUAUGGUCUGUGUCACAACUACUCAACCCUGCCAUUGUAGUGCAAAAGCAGCCAUUGAUAAUAUGUAAAUGUAUGGGUGUGUCUGUGUCUCAAUAAAACUUU
RNA transcript from Pongo pygmaeus (Bornean orangutan), 1384 nucleotides. RefSeq lists it as uncharacterized. Lineage: Eukaryota; Metazoa; Chordata; Mammalia; Primates; Hominidae. The record is from RefSeq and is a predicted model, not a curated record. The transcript is spliced from 9 exons.